UUUUAGUGCUUUAAGUUUUAUGGAAACACUUAAUACCAUUUCGAACUUAUAUAGUGAAAUAUAAACUAAGAUUUUUUGUACUUCAAGGGAUACUUUGCGGGAACUAAAUCUUUGUGCUAAG
This 121-nucleotide ribosomal RNA is filed under the name Euglenaformis proxima. The record is from RNAcentral. Lineage: Eukaryota; Euglenozoa; Euglenophyceae; Euglenales; Euglenaceae.